GCGGGUGUAGUUCAAUGGUAGAAUCCCAGCCUUCCAAGCUGGUUGUGUGGGUU
Molecule: transfer RNA, 53 nt
Filed under: Clostridium cylindrosporum DSM 605
Lineage: Bacteria; Bacillati; Bacillota; Clostridia; Eubacteriales; Clostridiaceae
Rfam family: tRNA
About the family: Transfer RNA (tRNA) molecules are approximately 80 nucleotides in length. Their secondary structure includes four short double-helical elements and three loops (D, anti-codon, and T loops). Further hydrogen bonds mediate the characteristic L-shaped molecular structure. tRNAs have two regions of fundamental functional importance: the anti-codon, which is responsible for specific mRNA codon recognition, and the 3' end, to which the tRNAs corresponding amino acid is attached (by aminoacyl-tRNA synthetases). tRNAs cope with the degeneracy of the genetic code in two manners: having more than one tRNA (with a specific anti-codon) for a particular amino acid; and 'wobble' base-pairing, i.e. permitting non-standard base-pairing at the 3rd anti-codon position.
Source: Rfam by way of RNAcentral